Molecule: long non-coding RNA, 10373 nt
Organism: Ostrea edulis (European flat oyster)
Lineage: Eukaryota; Metazoa; Mollusca; Bivalvia; Ostreida; Ostreidae
Exons: 3
Source: RefSeq, a predicted model, not a curated record
UAGAGAGGCAUUAACUCCCUUUAGGGGACACCGAAUCCCUUCAUUUUAAAUUCUUCGCUUCUACUAAUUACCCUCUAUGUUUUAGAAAAGAUUUUAUCCUCCUAUCAUUUACGGUUACAAAGUAGAAGCGCUAACAAUGAUUUCUGCGAAAGGUCCAAUAACUCCGUAAGGGGUCAAAGUUCAAUUACGCAGGGUGAACUGUAUUCGUUUCUCAAGAAGUACUAUAUGAUGGACUAUAAAGUUUUUCGAUAAGUCUUAAGACAAAAAUUUUUUUUGACGGCAGGAAAAUAAUAAUAACUAGUGAUCCUAAUUGUUCGCGAACAAUUAGAGGGCUUCCCACCUUCUAGCGGUUUUUCAGUAGUGUUGAAAUGCUAAAAGCCCCCCCCCCCUACCCCAUCCCACCCUCACCCAAACAAAAAAAAAAAAAAAAAAAAAAAAAAAAAAAUUGAUUUGGCUAGAAAAGAAAUUCAAAUUUGCCGCCUAAAUUUGAGUGUUGAGGUGUGUUCAAUGCUUGGUUUCGCAUUAAGUACCCGUCAAAUUUGAGGGAGAAAAGGGGUGUGGGUGUUGGGUAGCCAGCACAUAUGCACAUAUCAGGUAAAAGUGUAAUGGGACUUGUGCAGGUGUUUGGGGUGACUUUAGACCUGUUAGAUGUGAUAUUUGGAGGUGCAAAGAAACCGGAUGUGCCAUUUUCCUAGAUUGUAGUAACUGCUGGUGCAUGCUGGGAGUCUAUACAAGCCUCAUGUUGUCAGAUGUUGUGAAGAUGCACUGGAUUUGACCGUGUGUGUUGUGGAUUGUGGAAUUGAAUAUACAGUUUGUAAUGGCUCAUCCUAUGUGUUCUAAUUCACGGAGACAAUGUCUUUCAGUCAUUUCACCCAAGGAGGCAUGCAUAUACGGAUUGAUAGGCUUUGACAACAAACAACCAAAAUGGCGGCCGGUGAAUUAGAAAGUGUCUGAGUGCAUGUAGGAUAUCUGAACGGAGAAUAGGAGUACUGCAUCCCAUCUGAUCCUGCAGUCAUUUCACCCAAGGAGGCAUGCAUAUACGGAUUGAUAGGCUUUGACAACAAACAACCAAAAUGGCGGCCGGUGAAUUAGAAAGUGUCUGAGUGCAUGUAGGAUAUCUGAACGGAGAAUAGGAGUACUGCAUCCCAUCUGAUCCUGCAGGUAAGUGUUUAUUUGUUUACAAUGACAGUCGGGAUGGAAUGUCAAUGAGUUCAACUGUCAAGUAAAGUUGCAUCAUCAUUAUAAAAAAAAACAACUUAGUCUUUAUGUUGAUGCAGGCAGACAAUUGAAUCUGGCCUAUGUCUUUUCAUGAAUGUAAAUGGAAUUCAUGUUUGAUUGACAAGACAGUCAAGAAAUGGAAGAAGUGGGUGUAGGUCAGAUGUGUAGGUGUAGGUCAGAUUAGCUAGAAUCCUGUAAUUGUUGCAUGGCAUGAGACCGGUCAAAAUAGUGUAUUGAAACAGCUGAUCACAAUCAGAUCACUUGAAGGGUGGGGGAUUUCUUCCUUGGGGACGACAGGCGUGAUGGGUGGGUUGGCCUUACUCGUGGAGACUGGCCCCUGGAUGCGUGACCUUGACCUUUGACCUUGACCCACUUUCAAGGUCAAACCUCAAAAACACAUGGGGGAGAAAGUGUGACCUUGACCUUUGACCUUGACCUCAUUUUGAAGGUCAGAGAGGUCACGGGGCUUCGUUUAAGUGGUCCCGCGUCCCUGUCUACAUCCGUGAAGGAGUUGUGGGCUUGAACGACGACGUCGGAGACUUUCGGGGGCGAGAACCGUGCUUCGGGGUUCUCGGUUUCCCUCGGUCAACUUUUCUGUGCGAGAGCGUUUCAUCUGGAAUUCGUCGGCGAAGGUCUCGCCUCUCCAUGACUUGCGGUCUAGUGAGAGUAGCGAUAACGGGGUUUUCGACGUUAAGUCGCCGCCAUUCGCAGAGUGGUCAAAGUUCAGAGUUGACAUUCGUGAUGCCGAGACUGGUCCAAAAUUCCUUGCUGACCCAUGUGAUAUUUCGAUGCUAUCUGAAGCGUGAAAGAGCGUAUAAAAAGUGCCAUUUUCUGGCCAUUCUGGAUGACCUUGACCUUUGACCUUGACCUACUUUUUCAAGGUCAAGGUCACCCAACCCGUCCCAGUGGGUUCCGUCUCUCUACGACGAAGACUUUAGGAGUCGUCAAUUUGUAGGGGACAAAUCGCAAAACAUGAGGGGGCAUUAACUCCCUUUAGGGGACACCGAAUCCCUUCAUUUGAAAUUCUUCGCUUCUACUAAUUACCCUCUAUGUUGUAGAAAAGGUUUCAUCCUCCUAUCAUUUACGGUUACAAAGUAGAAGUGCUAACAAUGAUUUCUGCGAAAGGUCAAAUAACUCCGUAAGGGGUCAAAGUUCAAUUACGCAGGGUGAACUGUAUUCGUUUCUCAAGAAGUACUAUAUGAUGGACUAUAAAGUUUUUCGAUAAGUCUUAAGACGAAGAUUUUUUUUGAUGGCAGGAAAAUAAUAAUAAUAAUAAUAAUAAUAACUAGUGAUCCUAAUUGUUCGCGAACAAUUAGAGGGCUUUCCACCUACAAUGAUUUAAAGAUAGAUAUUUAAGAAUAUUUAGGAUGAUGUACGAAACUCAAAACGACUUAGAAAAUUUAAUAAUUUUCUCAAUGAUCUUGACCUUUGACCUUGACCUCAUUUUGAAGGUCAAAGGUCAUCGGUCUUAAUCCAAGUGAUUCCAUGUCUCUAUCUAUAUUAAUGUAAAAGCUAUAAGCUUAAAAAAUGUUAAUCAAGACAUUCAGGGUCAAUAAUUUGUUUAGGGGUUUUCGGUUACUUUCGGUUAACUUCUCAAUGCUAAAAAUACUUUGAAAGACCUUGAAAAUGGAAAAAAAUUAAUUUUGAUGAUGACCUUGACCUUUGACCUUGACCUCAUUUUGAAGGUCAAAGGUCAUCGGUCUUAAUGCAAGUGGUCCCAUGUCUCUAUCUCUAUUAAUACAAAAGUUAUAGGCUUAGAUAAUGAUAUUGGAGACUUUCAGGGGCAAUAACUAUGCUUAAGGGUUUUCGUAUCCCUUUGAUUAUUUUUUCUUUGCAAGAGGGUUUUACUGUGAAUUCAUUAGCGAAGGUUUCGUGUCUCUAUGACUUUCCGUUAAGUAGGAGUAGCGAUAACAAGGUUUUCGACGCGAGUCUCCGAAAUUCACAGAAGGGUCAAAGUUCAAAGUUGUAAUGCAUACUAUCAAAACCAAUCAAGAAGUCAAUACUUACCCAUAUAAUAUUUCAACGCUAUCUUAAGCAGGAAAGAGAGUAUAAAAAGUGCUAUUUUUUCCUCUUUUCUGAUGACCUUGACCUUUGACCUUGACCUAAUUUUCAAGGUCAAAGGUCACCGAUCCUAUUCCAGUUGGUCCCAUGUCUCUACGACAAACCGUUCUCAAGCUCGACAUAUUUUACGAAUAAAUUGCAAAACAUAAAGAGGCAUUAACUCCCUUUAGGGGACACCGAAUCCCUUCAUUUUAAAUUCUUCCCUUCUACUAAUUACCCUCUAUGUUUUAGAAAAGGUUUUAUCCUUCUAUCAUUUAUGGUUACAAAGUAGAAGUGCUAACAAUGAUUUCUGCGAAAGGUCCAAUAACUCCGUAAGGGGUCAAAGGUCAAUUAGGCAGGGUGAACUGUAUUCGUUUCUCAGGGAGUACUAUAUGAUGGACUAUAAAGUUUUUCGAUAAGUCUUAAGACGAAAAAUUUUUUUGACGGCAGGAAAAUAAUAAUAAUAAACAGAACAAUAACAAUAGGACUUUCCACUGAAAGGUGGAAAGCCCUAAUAACUAGUGAUCCUAAUUGUUCGCGAACAAUUAGAGGGCUUUCCACCUACAAUGAUUUAAAAAAAGAUAUUUAAGAAUAUUUAAGAUGAUGUACGAAUCUCAAAAUGACCAAGAAAAUUUAAUUAAUAAUUUUCACGAUGACCUUGACCUUAGACCUUGACCUCAUUUUGAAGGUCAAAGGUCAUCGCUCUUAAUGCAAGUGAUCCCAUGUCUCUAUCUAUAUUAAUAUAAAAGCUAUAAGCUUAAAAAAUGUUAAUCAAGACAUUCAGGGGCAAUAAUUUGUUUAGGGAUUUUCGGUUACUUUCGGUUAGCUUAUCAAUUCUAAAAACGCUUUGAAAGACCUUAAAAAUGGAAAAAAUAUUCAUUUUGAUGAUGACCUUGACCUUUGACCUUGACCUUAUUUUGAAGGUCAUCGGUCUUAAUGCAAGUGGUCCCAUGUAUCUAUCUAUAUUAAUAUAAAAGUUAUAGGCUUAGAUAAUGAUAUUGGAGACUUUCAGGGGCAAUAACUAUGCUUAAGGGUUUUUGUAUCCCUUUGAUUAUUUUUUCUUUGCAAGAGGGUUUUACUGUGAAUUCAUUAGCGAAUGUUUCGUGUCUCUAUGACUUUCCGUUAAGUAGGAGUAGCGAUAACAAGGUUUUCGACUCGAGUCUCCGAAAUUCACAGAAGGGUCAGAGUUCAAAGUUGUAAUGCAUACUAUCAAAACCAAUCAAGAAGUCAAUACUUACCCAUAUAAUAUUUCAACGCUAUCUUAAGCAGGAAAGAGAGUAUAAAAAGUGCUAUUUUUCCUCUUUUCUGAUGACCUUGACCUUUGACCUUGACCUAAUUUUCAAGGUCAAAGGUCACCGAUCCUAUUCCAGUUGGUCCCAUGUCUCUACGACAAACCGUGCUCAAGCUCGACAUGUUUUACGAAUAAAUCGCAAAACAUAGAGAGGCAUUAACUCCCUUUAGGGGACACCGAAUCCCUUCAUUUUAAAUUCUUCGCUUCUACUAAUUACCCUCUAUGUUUUAGAAAAGAUUUUAUCCUCCUAUCAUUUACGGUUACAAAGUAGAAGCGCUAACAAUGAUUUCUGCGAAAGGUCCAAUAACUCCGUAAGGGGUCAAAGUUCAAUUACGCAGGGUGAACUGUAUUCGUUUCUCAAGAAGUACUAUAUGAUGGACUAUAAAGUUUUUCGAUAAGUCUUAAGACAAAAAUUUUUUUUGACGGCAGGAAAAUAAUAAUAACUAGUGAUCCUAAUUGUUCGCGAACAAUUAGAGGGCUUCCCACCUUCUAGCGGUUUUUCAGUAGUGUUGAAAUGCUAAAAGCCCCCCCCCCCUACCCCAUCCCACCCUCACCCAAACAAAAAAAAAAAAAAAAAAAAAAAAAAAAAAAUUGAUUUGGCUAGAAAAGAAAUUCAAAUUUGCCGCCUAAAUUUGAGUGUUGAGGUGUGUUCAAUGCUUGGUUUCGCAUUAAGUACCCGUCAAAUUUGAGGGAGAAAAGGGGUGUGGGUGUUGGGUAGCCAGCACAUAUGCACAUAUCAGGUAAAAGUGUAAUGGGACUUGUGCAGGUGUUUGGGGUGACUUUAGACCUGUUAGAUGUGAUAUUUGGAGGUGCAAAGAAACCGGAUGUGCCAUUUUCCUAGAUUGUAGUAACUGCUGGUGCAUGCUGGGAGUCUAUACAAGCCUCAUGUUGUCAGAUGUUGUGAAGAUGCACUGGAUUUGACCGUGUGUGUUGUGGAUUGUGGAAUUGAAUAUACAGUUUGUAAUGGCUCAUCCUAUGUGUUCUAAUUCACGGAGACAAUGUCUUUCAGUCAUUUCACCCAAGGAGGCAUGCAUAUACGGAUUGAUAGGCUUUGACAACAAACAACCAAAAUGGCGGCCGGUGAAUUAGAAAGUGUCUGAGUGCAUGUAGGAUAUCUGAACGGAGAAUAGGAGUACUGCAUCCCAUCUGAUCCUGCAGGUAAGUGUUUAUUUGUUUACAAUGACAGUCGGGAUGGAAUGUCAAUGAGUUCAACUGUCAAGUAAAGUUGCAUCAUCAUUAUAAAAAAAAACAACUUAGUCUUUAUGUUGAUGCAGGCAGACAAUUGAAUCUGGCCUAUGUCUUUUCAUGAAUGUAAAUGGAAUUCAUGUUUGAUUGACAAGACAGUCAAGAAAUGGAAGAAGUGGGUGUAGGUCAGAUGUGUAGGUGUAGGUCAGAUUAGCUAGAAUCCUGUAAUUGUUGCAUGGCAUGAGACCGGUCAAAAUAGUGUAUUGAAACAGCUGAUCACAAUCAGAUCACUUGAAGGGUGGGGGAUUUCUUCCUUGGGGACGACAGGCGUGAUGGGUGGGUUGGCCUUACUCGUGGAGACUGGCCCCUGGAUGCGUGACCUUGACCUUUGACCUUGACCCACUUUCAAGGUCAAACCUCAAAAACACAUGGGGGAGAAAGUGUGACCUUGACCUUUGACCUUGACCUCAUUUUGAAGGUCAGAGAGGUCACGGGGCUUCGUUUAAGUGGUCCCGCGUCCCUGUCUACAUCCGUGAAGGAGUUGUGGGCUUGAACGACGACGUCGGAGACUUUCGGGGGCGAGAACCGUGCUUCGGGGUUCUCGGUUUCCCUCGGUCAACUUUUCUGUGCGAGAGCGUUUCAUCUGGAAUUCGUCGGCGAAGGUCUCGCCUCUCCAUGACUUGCGGUCUAGUGAGAGUAGCGAUAACGGGGUUUUCGACGUUAAGUCGCCGCCAUUCGCAGAGUGGUCAAAGUUCAGAGUUGACAUUCGUGAUGCCGAGACUGGUCCAAAAUUCCUUGCUGACCCAUGUGAUAUUUCGAUGCUAUCUGAAGCGUGAAAGAGCGUAUAAAAAGUGCCAUUUUCUGGCCAUUCUGGAUGACCUUGACCUUUGACCUUGACCUACUUUUUCAAGGUCAAGGUCACCCAACCCGUCCCAGUGGGUUCCGUCUCUCUACGACGAAGACUUUAGGAGUCGUCAAUUUGUAGGGGACAAAUCGCAAAACAUGAGGGGGCAUUAACUCCCUUUAGGGGACACCGAAUCCCUUCAUUUGAAAUUCUUCGCUUCUACUAAUUACCCUCUAUGUUGUAGAAAAGGUUUCAUCCUCCUAUCAUUUACGGUUACAAAGUAGAAGUGCUAACAAUGAUUUCUGCGAAAGGUCAAAUAACUCCGUAAGGGGUCAAAGUUCAAUUACGCAGGGUGAACUGUAUUCGUUUCUCAAGAAGUACUAUAUGAUGGACUAUAAAGUUUUUCGAUAAGUCUUAAGACGAAGAUUUUUUUUGAUGGCAGGAAAAUAAUAAUAAUAAUAAUAAUAAUAACUAGUGAUCCUAAUUGUUCGCGAACAAUUAGAGGGCUUUCCACCUACAAUGAUUUAAAGAUAGAUAUUUAAGAAUAUUUAGGAUGAUGUACGAAACUCAAAACGACUUAGAAAAUUUAAUAAUUUUCUCAAUGAUCUUGACCUUUGACCUUGACCUCAUUUUGAAGGUCAAAGGUCAUCGGUCUUAAUCCAAGUGAUUCCAUGUCUCUAUCUAUAUUAAUGUAAAAGCUAUAAGCUUAAAAAAUGUUAAUCAAGACAUUCAGGGUCAAUAAUUUGUUUAGGGGUUUUCGGUUACUUUCGGUUAACUUCUCAAUGCUAAAAAUACUUUGAAAGACCUUGAAAAUGGAAAAAAAUUAAUUUUGAUGAUGACCUUGACCUUUGACCUUGACCUCAUUUUGAAGGUCAAAGGUCAUCGGUCUUAAUGCAAGUGGUCCCAUGUCUCUAUCUCUAUUAAUACAAAAGUUAUAGGCUUAGAUAAUGAUAUUGGAGACUUUCAGGGGCAAUAACUAUGCUUAAGGGUUUUCGUAUCCCUUUGAUUAUUUUUUCUUUGCAAGAGGGUUUUACUGUGAAUUCAUUAGCGAAGGUUUCGUGUCUCUAUGACUUUCCGUUAAGUAGGAGUAGCGAUAACAAGGUUUUCGACGCGAGUCUCCGAAAUUCACAGAAGGGUCAAAGUUCAAAGUUGUAAUGCAUACUAUCAAAACCAAUCAAGAAGUCAAUACUUACCCAUAUAAUAUUUCAACGCUAUCUUAAGCAGGAAAGAGAGUAUAAAAAGUGCUAUUUUUUCCUCUUUUCUGAUGACCUUGACCUUUGACCUUGACCUAAUUUUCAAGGUCAAAGGUCACCGAUCCUAUUCCAGUUGGUCCCAUGUCUCUACGACAAACCGUUCUCAAGCUCGACAUAUUUUACGAAUAAAUUGCAAAACAUAAAGAGGCAUUAACUCCCUUUAGGGGACACCGAAUCCCUUCAUUUUAAAUUCUUCCCUUCUACUAAUUACCCUCUAUGUUUUAGAAAAGGUUUUAUCCUUCUAUCAUUUAUGGUUACAAAGUAGAAGUGCUAACAAUGAUUUCUGCGAAAGGUCCAAUAACUCCGUAAGGGGUCAAAGGUCAAUUAGGCAGGGUGAACUGUAUUCGUUUCUCAGGGAGUACUAUAUGAUGGACUAUAAAGUUUUUCGAUAAGUCUUAAGACGAAAAAUUUUUUUGACGGCAGGAAAAUAAUAAUAAUAAACAGAACAAUAACAAUAGGACUUUCCACUGAAAGGUGGAAAGCCCUAAUAACUAGUGAUCCUAAUUGUUCGCGAACAAUUAGAGGGCUUUCCACCUACAAUGAUUUAAAAAAAGAUAUUUAAGAAUAUUUAAGAUGAUGUACGAAUCUCAAAAUGACCAAGAAAAUUUAAUUAAUAAUUUUCACGAUGACCUUGACCUUAGACCUUGACCUCAUUUUGAAGGUCAAAGGUCAUCGCUCUUAAUGCAAGUGAUCCCAUGUCUCUAUCUAUAUUAAUAUAAAAGCUAUAAGCUUAAAAAAUGUUAAUCAAGACAUUCAGGGGCAAUAAUUUGUUUAGGGAUUUUCGGUUACUUUCGGUUAGCUUAUCAAUUCUAAAAACGCUUUGAAAGACCUUAAAAAUGGAAAAAAUAUUCAUUUUGAUGAUGACCUUGACCUUUGACCUUGACCUUAUUUUGAAGGUCAUCGGUCUUAAUGCAAGUGGUCCCAUGUAUCUAUCUAUAUUAAUAUAAAAGUUAUAGGCUUAGAUAAUGAUAUUGGAGACUUUCAGGGGCAAUAACUAUGCUUAAGGGUUUUUGUAUCCCUUUGAUUAUUUUUUCUUUGCAAGAGGGUUUUACUGUGAAUUCAUUAGCGAAUGUUUCGUGUCUCUAUGACUUUCCGUUAAGUAGGAGUAGCGAUAACAAGGUUUUCGACUCGAGUCUCCGAAAUUCACAGAAGGGUCAGAGUUCAAAGUUGUAAUGCAUACUAUCAAAACCAAUCAAGAAGUCAAUACUUACCCAUAUAAUAUUUCAACGCUAUCUUAAGCAGGAAAGAGAGUAUAAAAAGUGCUAUUUUUCCUCUUUUCUGAUGACCUUGACCUUUGACCUUGACCUAAUUUUCAAGGUCAAAGGUCACCGAUCCUAUUCCAGUUGGUCCCAUGUCUCUACGACAAACCGUGCUCAAGCUCGACAUGUUUUACGAAUAAAUCGCAAAACAUAGAGAGGCAUUAACUCCCUUUAGGGGACACCGAAUCCCUUCAUUUUAAAUUCUUCGCUUCUACUAAUUACCCUCUAUGUUUUAGAAAAGAUUUUAUCCUCCUAUCAUUUACGGUUACAAAGUAGAAGCGCUAACAAUGAUUUCUGCGAAAGGUCCAAUAACUCCGUAAGGGGUCAAAGUUCAAUUACGCAGGGUGAACUGUAUUCGUUUCUCAAGAAGUACUAUAUGAUGGACUAUAAAGUUUUUCGAUAAGUCUUAAGACAAAAAUUUUUUUUGACGGCAGGAAAAUAAUAAUAACUAGUGAUCCUAAUUGUUCGCGAACAAUUAGAGGGCUUCCCACCUUCUAGCGGUUUUUCAGUAGUGUUGAAAUGCUAAAAGCCCCCCCCCCCUACCCCAUCCCACCCUCACCCAAACAAAAAAAAAAAAAAAAAAAAAAAAAAAAAAAUUGAUUUGGCUAGAAAAGAAAUUCAAAUUUGCCGCCUAAAUUUGAGUGUUGAGGUGUGUUCAAUGCUUGGUUUCGCAUUAAGUACCCGUCAAAUUUGAGGGAGAAAAGGGGUGUGGGUGUUGGGUAGCCAGCACAUAUGCACAUAUCAGGUAAAAGUGUAAUGGGACUUGUGCAGGUGUUUGGGGUGACUUUAGACCUGUUAGAUGUGAUAUUUGGAGGUGCAAAGAAACCGGAUGUGCCAUUUUCCUAGAUUGUAGUAACUGCUGGUGCAUGCUGGGAGUCUAUACAAGCCUCAUGUUGUCAGAUGUUGUGAAGAUGCACUGGAUUUGACCGUGUGUGUUGUGGAUUGUGGAAUUGAAUAUACAGUUUGUAAUGGCUCAUCCUAUGUGUUCUAAUUCACGGAGACAAUGUCUUUCAGUCAUUUCACCCAAGGAGGCAUGCAUAUACGGAUUGAUAGGCUUUGACAACAAACAACCAAAAUGGCGGCCGGUGAAUUAGAAAGUGUCUGAGUGCAUGUAGGAUAUCUGAACGGAGAAUAGGAGUACUGCAUCCCAUCUGAUCCUGCAGAGUUUUGCUGUCGGCAAUGAAAGUCAAUCCAAUUCUACCGAGAACGUCACUCGCAGCGGAAAUGGUAACCAAUAGAGCUACGUUCUCAUCGCUUAUUUCGCAGUCACGUGCAAAUGGAGG